RNAcentral lists this long non-coding RNA (2831 nucleotides) under Homo sapiens (human). RNAcentral's name for it is "HSALNT0040617". The record is from RNAcentral. Lineage: Eukaryota; Metazoa; Chordata; Mammalia; Primates; Hominidae.
CCUGGGUUCAAGCAAUCUGCCUGCCUUGGCCUCCCAAAGUGUUGAAAAUUACAGGCAUGAGUCACCACACUUAGACUGGACUUUCUUUCUUCACCCAUCUCCAUCUCUUUCUUCUCAAAGUCAAAAGCGUUAGAGGAAAGAGAUAGAGAUAAUAAAAACGAAAUGCCAAUAUUUGUUUUCAGCUCUUUUAGCAAGCACCUCAUGAUAAAAAUACCGUUUAAGGAGAGAAGUUACCACAUACUGAUUAGAACUAUAAAAGUCUAACAGUCCUGCAGGUGUCACAAUUUCAAAUACUUAUAAGGAAACUUAUAGGCAAACUAAAUGAAUGAAGCAGGUAAGAUAGAGGACUUACAUCAAGUAGAACUUGCUAUCUCUGUUAUCUCUCUCUACUUCUGAGUUAUUUUUAACUCGGAACUUUUGCUUUGGUGUUCUGCAAUUUAUCUACAUAUGGCAGGAUAUAUAUUUAGCUUUAUUUAUUCUGCUCAGGAUCCAUUGUGAAUCUGAAGAGUCGUAUAUUUUUUGAAACUCCAGAAAACUCAAAUUUAGUAUCAUUUUAAACAUUGCUUCUCUCCAAUCAUAUUAUCUAUUUCUGGAACCCCUAUUAUAUAUACAUGAGACUUAUUUAUUGUACUUAAAAUUUUUUAGCCUGGUUUUUAUAUUUUACAUCUUUUCUCUGUGUAAUGAUUUUUCAUCAAUUUACUCAGUGCUACCUUUUAUUUCCCUAAUUCUCUCUUCAGCUUUAUCUCAUCUGCAGUUUAACCAACCAUUCAAUUUUUAUAUUUUAACAAUUAUAAGUUUCAUUGUCAGAAAUUUUAACUUCCUUUUUUAAUGCUUUUUUGUCAUUUUUAUACCAUAUUUUAUUUUACUUUUCUGCCCUAACUUUACCUCUUGGACCUCAUAUUUUACUACCCCUACUAUUCCUACUCUCACUCAGACUUACUCAGCCACACAGCCUUCCUACUGUUUUCACAGUUACUACUUCAGGGCCUUUGCACGUUGGAUUUUCCCUGCCUGGAAUGUUCAUCCUUCAGAUAUACAGCUGACUUACACCCUUACCUCCUUUAGCUUCAAGUAUCCUUUUCUCAGUGAGGCUCUCCCUGAUCUCCAAGGUAUUAAUAAAAUUUAAAUCACACUUUUACCCAGAGCUCCCUACCCACCCCUCCUGCUUUAUUUCCAUUCAUUGCACAUUUCAGUAUAAAACAUAUUUUGCUUAUUUUGCUUUAUAUCUGUCUCUUACAACUAGAAUAUAAAUUUUAUAAAGACAGUGAAGGGGGGAUGGCAGUGGUGAAUUUUUGUAUUCCCAGUAACUAGAAAAAUGCCUGACAUAAUUUGUUCCUUGAAAAAUCUUAGUUAAGUAAAAUAAACAUGUGUCAUUGAAUGGUCUUCCUUAUUCUUUCUUCUUUAAUCCUUUAAACAUAAUUUCUAAUCUAGUCUAAUAAUUCUAUUAUAUGAAAUUCUUGAAGGUCUAAUGCAGCUAUUUGUGUUUUAAGAUGAAUCUAUGUGUUGUGAAAUUUGGGGUUUUGCUGUUGUUGUUUUAAUCUGAAGAGCUUUAUAUCCAGUGGGGCAGAGGGGACUUCACUCACAUAAUAUGCAUUUAUGUCUUAUUUUUAUAUUUUUUUCUACAGGAAUCUUUCAAGGCCUGGGUUGAGGAUCUCUUCAGAGAGGUCUAGCUAUUGAUCCCAGGGUGCUAUCAGCCUGUGAUCAUUUGUUAUGUUCAUUUCCUAGUUUGCUGGGACACUAGUGGAAUUUUAAUUACACACCCAGACCAUGGGAAGUUCUACGUCUAUGCUUUGAAAGCCACAGAUAAGCAUAUAAUGUUUCAAUGUGGAGAAGUGAGCAUUGGAUUGAAAUCGGAAUACCUGAGUUAUAUUUUUCACUUUCUCCCUAACACAACUGAACAUUGGACAAGACGCUAAAUUCCUCUGGAUCUCUGUUCUUUCAUCUGAAAAAAGAAUUCUCCAUUUGUAGACUAUGGUCCAUUCCAUCUCCAACAUUUUAUGAAUCCUGUGAGUCCACCUAAUUCAUUUUUCUGAUUUAACAGAUGAAAAAACUAAAACAUAGAGAGAUGAAAUGAUUUGCUUAGGGUCAUAUAAUUAGCCAAUGUCCAAACUGAAAAUAAGAGCAGGUUUCUUAUUCCUAGUCCAGCCUACUGUUCUACUACAGCUGAUAGUUGUCAGAGGAGUUUGUGGACGGUGGUAAUCCUUGCAAGAAUAAUUUUCAACUAUUGACAAAGAAAAAAAAAUUCUAGUGAUUUGGGGGAAAAAUGUAAUUUUCUUAUUUGAAUGUGUCACCAUUUUAAAGAGUAUAUUUCUACAGAGAGUUAAGUCAAAGAACUAAUUAUGCAUUGUCUCACAUUAUGUAAGAGCAUUAUACAACUCAAUUAGAACUGACAAUAAAACAACUUCCAGGCAAGAUCUUCUGAAUUGCCCUUAUUUCUCUUUUAAAAUCACUGAAGCAAAAUCACGUUCCAAUUCAAAUAUUCUGAAAGUCUAUCCAGCCUAUACACAUUCCCCUGCAGCAUUUUUACUCUCUUCCUAGGUUUUAGCAAAGAAACAUUUCUGUUUACUUCUGUAACUCCUGUGAGGGCAUGGAAAUUCUAAGUGCCAUUAUUUUCUGGGUAAGAGAAUAAGAAAAUGCAUUUCAAUUUUUUUAAAACCCAGAACCAGGCUUCAAUUUUUAAUUAGAAAGUCAUAACUUAUUUUAAAAGAAUGAACGAAAGUAUUUUUGUUUAUAAAAAUAUUCUAUUCCAAACAAAAAAUACAAGAAAAGAACUUAGCCCUGAACCCCAUCUCAUGUAUUUCAGUAAUCAUUUAAAUAAAGGUUUCCACCAG